GGCAUGGGGCUGGCCCUAGAUCAAGGAUAGCUGCAUCUGCCCCAUUAGGCAGAUUGGGUCCUGGGGCUGACAUCUCAAUAACAAGGGAACACAAGGGGCAGAUAAUGGAGAGAAACAACCCUCAGGGGGUUUUUUUUGAGGGUCCUGAAAGAAAAGAUAAAGAGCUUAGGUCCAAUGCUAUAAAGUCAAGAAAAUGCUGGCAGAGGAAUGCAAAAGGAAAGUCCCACACAUUGUCUUAAGAUUGGAAAUGCUGAGUCAGAACUAGAGGGGGGAAAAAAAAUGUGGAUCAAUAAAUGAUAGAUGGAGGUGCAGUCCUAUUAACACCAGGAGCUAUAUGUCAGUCUCUGGAAUGGCAUUAAAGGGAAAGCUGACUCCAGCGGAGAAGCUCCAUCCUGA
Long non-coding RNA from Corapipo altera (White-ruffed manakin), 396 nucleotides. RefSeq lists it as uncharacterized. The transcript is spliced from 3 exons. The record is from RefSeq and is a predicted model, not a curated record. Lineage: Eukaryota; Metazoa; Chordata; Aves; Passeriformes; Pipridae.